RNAcentral lists this ribosomal RNA (301 nucleotides) under uncultured bacterium. Its description in RNAcentral is "partial 16S ribosomal RNA". It matches the Rfam family "Bacterial small subunit ribosomal RNA", at positions 509 to 807 of the family's 1533-position model. The record is from RNAcentral.
CAGUAGCCGCGGGAAUACGUAGGGUGCAAGCGUUAAUCGGAAUUACUGGGUGUAAAGCGUGCGCAGGCGGUUGUGUAAGUCUGAUGUGAAAGCCCCGGGCUCAACCUGGGAACUGCAUUGGAGACUGCACGGCUAGAGUGCGUCAGAGGGGGGUAGAAUUCCGCGUGUAGCAGUGAAAUGCGUAGAGAUGCGGAGGAAUACCGAUGGCGAAGGCAGCCCCCUGGGAUGACACUGACGCUCAUGCACGAAAGCGUGGGGAGCAAACAGGAUUAGAUACCCCUGUAGUCCCUGUCUCUUAUAC